This 497-nucleotide ribosomal RNA is filed under the name uncultured bacterium. Its description in RNAcentral is "bacterial SSU rRNA". It matches the Rfam family "Bacterial small subunit ribosomal RNA", at positions 28 to 517 of the family's 1533-position model. The record is from RNAcentral.
GACGAACGCUGGCGGCGUGGAUUAGGCAUGCAAGUCGAACGGUAGGAUCCUUUCGGGGAUCUGAGAGUGGCGAACGGGUGAGUAACACGUAGGUGAUCUACCCUCAAGACGGGGACAACCCAGGGAAACUUGGGCUAAUACCGGAUGUGAGCUAUCGCGAGAUAGUUUGAAAGGUGGCUUCGGCUGCCGCUUGAGGAUGAGCCUGCGUCCUAUUAGCUAGUUGGUGAGGUAACGGCUCACCGAGGCAGUGAUAGGUAGGCGGCCUUAACGGGUGGUCGCCCACACUGGGAUUGAGAUACGGCCCAGACUCCUACGGGAGGCAGCAGUCGAGAAUAGUCUACAAUGGUCGAAAGACUGAUAGUGCGACGCCGCGUGAACGAAGAAGCCCUUCGGGUGUAAAGUUCUUUUAUAUGUGAGCAGUGACACCCAUAUUAAUAGUAUGGGUGUAGAGAUAUUAGCAUAUGAAUAAGCAACGGCUAACUCCGUGCCAGCAGCCG